UACAGAGGGUGCAAGCGUUGUUCGGAAUUACUGGGCGUAAAGCGUGCGCAGGCGGUUUUGUAAGCCAGAUGUGAAAGCCCCGGGCUUAACCUGGGAAUGGCAUUUGGGACUGCAAGGCUUGAGUGCGGCAGAGGAGACUGGAAUUCCUGGUGUAGCAGUGAAAUGCGUAGAUAUCAGGAGGAAUACCGAUGGCGAAGGCAGGUCUCUGGGCUGACACUGACGCUCAUGCACGAAAGCGUGGGGAGCAAACAGG
RNAcentral lists this ribosomal RNA (253 nucleotides) under uncultured bacterium. RNAcentral describes it as "partial 16S ribosomal RNA". It matches the Rfam family "Bacterial small subunit ribosomal RNA", at positions 524 to 776 of the family's 1533-position model. The record is from RNAcentral.